UACGUAGGGUGCGAGCGUUGUCCGGAAUUAUUGGGCGUAAAGAGCUUGUAGGUGGUUUGUCGCGUCUGCUGUGAAAAUCCGAGGCUCAACCUCGGACUUGCAGUGGGUACGGGCAGACUAGAGUGUGGUAGGGGAGACUGGAAUUCCUGGUGUAGCGGUGGAAUGCGCAGAUAUCAGGAGGAACACCGGUGGCGAAGGCGGAUCUCUGGGCCUUACCUGACGCUGAGGCGCGAAAGCUAGGGGAGCAAACAGG
This 253-nucleotide ribosomal RNA is filed under the name uncultured bacterium. RNAcentral describes it as "partial 16S ribosomal RNA". It matches the Rfam family "Bacterial small subunit ribosomal RNA", at positions 524 to 776 of the family's 1533-position model. The record is from RNAcentral.